RNAcentral lists this long non-coding RNA (327 nucleotides) under Lathyrus oleraceus (garden pea). RNAcentral describes it as "Pisum sativum (pea) long non-coding RNA (PSAT_LNC024608)". The record is from RNAcentral. Lineage: Eukaryota; Viridiplantae; Streptophyta; Magnoliopsida; Fabales; Fabaceae.
GGGUAUUGGGUAAGAAGUGACAAACUGCAAACUAAGAAGAAUAUUACCAGUUACUGAGUAAUAAAUUCUUAGGGGACUCAAAGCAUCUAUCUAGGUAAGAUCUAGAAAGAAACGGUCAAUCAAGACUCAACCCAAUGAGGAUAUAACUCAAGGGGAGUGAUUCCAUCCAGAUAAUCCACUAGGGAGGAAACUGAAAUAAUAAUCUUCUAUCUAGGUAAGAUCUAGAAAGAAACGGUCAAUCAAGACUCAACCCAAUGAGGAUAUAACUCAAGGGGAGUGAUUCCAUCCAGAUAAUCCACUAGGGAGGAAACUGAAAUAAUAAUCAUC